Long non-coding RNA from Equus caballus (horse), 813 nucleotides. Lineage: Eukaryota; Metazoa; Chordata; Mammalia; Perissodactyla; Equidae. The record is from Ensembl.
AGGCAACCUUCUUGGUAGAUUGUGGGGGGUUUGCCAGAGUCUGGUGAUAGAGACAGGGGUCCCAAAGGGCAAAGUGAUAUCUACAGAACAAACCCAAGGAGAGGGCUUGUGUGCAAGGCCAGGGGCCAACGAGAGCAUGCCCUGCCAGGACAAGUCAUUCCACAGAGAUGCCGUUCCCCUUGGCACCAUGUCCUGUAUUUGCUCAGCAGCCCACAUCCUGCUCUGCCCCCAACCUUGGGGCUGAUUUCCCACAAGGUAAUUCAAAUUCUCCAACAUUAAAAUCAAGCCAGUAUUCAGGGAGCACUUGUGAGUCUUCGAGGUUCACCUAGAAGGAAGCUGGAAAUUGUAUCACUAAUGGCAGUGCUUUUGCUGUUGGGGACUAGCCAGAUGGUUCAUAAGACAACCAUUCAAACACACCUAAGCUGUUCCCACAGAUUAGCCAUCAAUUGUUAGCAAGAUCUCUCACUUCCUUUAUAUUGAUUUAUGGCAGCAAUGGAAAUAUACCACCUCACCCAGAGAACACGCCUCCUUCCAGCUAGGAAACUAUAAAUGUCAAGGUGUUUUUACUCAGAUUGAGAAGAACCCAGCAAAAUGGGGAUCUCCACAGACAUCCUUGAAAUUUGUCUUUUGUUGGGUCAAGUUCUAUCUACAGUAACAGUGGGAAACACCAUGGGAACCACUUCCAGGGAGACACAGACGCCAACUGGUAACUAAACUCUGGGACUGGGAGGUUGUGGGACCCAAGGCCACCCCCAAGGACUCAGGAGGGGCUGCUGCAGAGACGCUCUGUAGACCACACAUUGACCACCCGAG